UGGGGAAUAUUGCACAAUGGGCGCAAGCCUGAUGCAGCCAUGCCGCGUGUAUGAAGAAGGCCUUCGGGUUGUAAAGUACUUUCAGCGGGGAGGAAGGGAGUAAAGUUAAUACCUUUACUCAUUGACGUUACCCGCAGAAGAAGCACCGGCUAACUCCGUGCCAGCAGCCGCGGUAAUACGGAGGGUGCAAGCAUUAAUCGGAAUUACUGGGCGUAAAGCGCACGCAGGCGGUUUGUUAAGUCAGAUGUGAAAUCCUCGGGCUCAACCUGGGAACUGCAUCUGAUACUGGCAAGCUUGAGUCUCGUAGAGGGGGGUAGAAUUCCAGGUGUAGCGGUGAAAUGCGUAGAGAUCUGGAGGAAUACCGGUGGCGAAGGCGGCCCCCUGGACAAAGACUGACGCUCAGGUGCGAAAGCGUGGGGAGCAAACAGG
Molecule: ribosomal RNA, 429 nt
Filed under: Chloroflexota bacterium
Lineage: Bacteria; Bacillati; Chloroflexota
Description: Chloroflexi bacterium partial 16S ribosomal RNA
Rfam family: Bacterial small subunit ribosomal RNA
Source: RNAcentral